This 489-nucleotide ribosomal RNA is filed under the name uncultured bacterium. Its description in RNAcentral is "bacterial SSU rRNA". It matches the Rfam family "Bacterial small subunit ribosomal RNA", at positions 28 to 477 of the family's 1533-position model. The record is from RNAcentral.
GAUGAACGCUGGCGGCAUGCCUAAGACAUGCAAGUCGAACGAGACGACCUUUGGAAGACUGAGUACUUGUACAAAGUUAGAAGAAGAUCAUCGUCUAGUGGCAGACGGGUGAGUAACACGUGGGUAACCUACCUUCAAGCUGGGGAUAACGUUUGGAAACGAACGCUAAUACCGAAUAAGAUAUAUAGCAAUAUAUAUUGAAAGAAGCCUUUAAAGCUUCACUUAAAGAUGGGCCUGCGGCGUAUUAACUAGUUGGUGAGGUAAUGGCUCACCAAGGUAACGAUGCGUAGCCGAACUGAGAGGUUGAACGGCCACACUGGGACUGAGACACGGCCCAGACUCCUACGGGAGACAGCAGUUAGGAAUAUUCGUCAAUGGGGAAACCCUGAACGAGCAAUGCCGCGUGAGUGAUGAAGGCCCUAUGGGUUGUAAAACUCUGUUGUAUGGGAAGAACGGCCAAUAUUAGGAAAUGAAUAUGGAGUGACGGUA